RNAcentral lists this unclassified non-coding RNA (376 nucleotides) under soil metagenome. RNAcentral's name for it is "partial contains 5.8S ribosomal RNA, internal transcribed spacer 2, and large subunit ribosomal RNA". The stretch from base 1 to 120 matches the Rfam family "5.8S ribosomal RNA", at positions 35 to 154 of the family's 154-position model. The record is from RNAcentral.
GAUGAAGAACGUAGCGAAAUGCGAUAAGUAAUGUGAAUUGCAGAAUUCAGUGAAUCAUCGAAUCUUUGAACGCAUCUUGCGCUCCUUGGUAUUCUGAGGAGCAUGCCUGUUUGAGUGUCAUUAAAUUCUCAACUACACUGACUUUGAAUUGGUGUGGCUUGGAUUUGGGGGGAAAAUUGUUGUGGGCUUUUUGUAUAGUCUGCUCCCCUGAAAUUGAUUAGCGGUACCUUUGUGGAACUGUCUACAGGUGUGAUAAUUAUCUACAUCUUAGACAUCUGCUGGAAUGCUGCUUUCUAAACCUUACUUGUAUUGACAAUCUUGACCUCAAAUCAGGUAGGACUACCCGCUGAACUUAAGCAUAUCCAUAAGCGGAGGA